CGCUCUACCUUCGUUUUUUUGUUAAACUGAACAAGACCUCAGACUUAAGAGCUAUUCGAAUAAGGCACAGCUUAUUUGAAACAGGACACAACCUACGACAUAGGGUAACCAAGAGUGACUUAAAUAAAGUGGGCCUAAAAGCAGCCAUCUUUAAAAAAGCGUUAAAGCUUAACUACCCCUCACUCACAAUACCUAAAGCCCUCACUAACCCCUCAUCACUAUUGAACAGCUUUAUACUCAUAUAAAAGCUAUUAUGCUAGAACUAGUAACAAGAAACUGCCUUUCUCCUAAAUGUAAGUAUAUACCAAAAUAAACUCUGUUGGUUAUUAACGUAAAUGCUAAACUAUAGUAACACCCACUAGAAAACCCUAUAACUCCUAACGUUAACCUUACACCAGAACAUUCCAGGAAAGAUUAAAAGAAAAAGAAGGAACUCGGCAAAUCAUAGCCUCGCCUGUUUACCAAAAACAUCGCCUCUUGCAAAACAUAAGAGGUCCAGCCUGCCCAGUGACAAAGUUCAACGGCCGCGGUACCCUAACCGUGCGAAGGUAGCAUAAUCACUUGUUCUUUAAAUGAGGACUCGUAUCAACGGCACUACGAGGGCUAUACUGUCUCCUUUUUCCAAUCAGUGAAACUGAUCUCCCCGUGAAGAAGCGGGGAUCAAAAUAUAAGACGAGAAGACCCCAUGGAGCUUUAAACUCUCUGUACACUUCUGUGUUCCUACAUCAUUAGACAUAAGAAAUCUGCACACUAGUUUUAGGUUGGGGGGACCACGGAGUACAAUUUAACCUCCAUAACAAAUGGGCUAAUUACCCUUAUCCACGAGACACACCUCUAAGAAUUACUAAACUAAUGCUUAUGACCCGAUAUUCGAUCAAUGAACCAAGUUACCCUGGGGAUAACAGCGCAAUCUACUUCAAGAGCUCAUAUCGACAAGUAGGUUUACGACCUCGAUGUUGGAUCAGGGUAUCCCGGUGGUGCAGCCGCUACUAAUGGUUCGUUUGUUCAACGAUUAAAACCCUACGUGAUCUG
Molecule: ribosomal RNA, 1032 nt
Filed under: Rana longicrus
Lineage: Eukaryota; Metazoa; Chordata; Amphibia; Anura; Ranidae
Description: partial large subunit ribosomal RNA
Rfam family: Bacterial large subunit ribosomal RNA
Source: RNAcentral